RNAcentral lists this long non-coding RNA (271 nucleotides) under Lathyrus oleraceus (garden pea). RNAcentral's name for it is "Pisum sativum (pea) long non-coding RNA (PSAT_LNC039454)". The record is from RNAcentral. Lineage: Eukaryota; Viridiplantae; Streptophyta; Magnoliopsida; Fabales; Fabaceae.
GAAUAAGAAUGUACAUGAAUGGAAUUCAAAUGAAAUAUUCAACACACAUUGAUCAAACAUGAAUAUAAUCAAAGUCAAUCAAUGGUAAACAGAAGCAAGAUGAAGCUUAGAAGUCAAGAAACAAAUAAAAUAUUUUUGAUAUUUUUGAGAAUUAAAAUAAUACUUGAAUUAAAAUAAACAAACAAAGGUCAAACUUCAAAUCCAUUUCAAAUCAACUUGAAAAAGUCCAAAUGGAUCAUCCUAAGUUCAACAAGGUCAAACAAAGUUUGAC